AAAAUUAUAACUAUACGCUAGCGCUUUCUGAGCUCCUUUUUCGGUGGCGUGCUUCAUUUGAGCAACCACCAUCGGAAAGCUGAGAGGUGUUCGUUUCGCAUCCCCUUCCUCUCCCUAACCUUGCGCUUUUCUGUUUUGUCUCCCUCCCACUCUUUUUGUUCUGUUGUACUCCCGCGCGUCUCCGUUUGUGUUCCUCCCUUUUCUUCCCCUUGCUGGCCUCUUUCGGGCUUCGCUUGGUUGGUGGUGACCCCCUCCCCUCUCUCCUGUGCUAUUAUCAUCUCCGUAAUCUUUCGUGUUUUUCUGCCAUUUAUCCCUCUUUCCUCAUCUGCGCAUUUUUGUCUUGCUGUGGAACGGUACUUCUGCUGCUGCUGAGCGUGUUUCUCUUCCUUCCCUUUGUGUGUGUGCGUGUCUGCGCGCGCGUGUACUUUGCGAAUCUCCAUGACACAGGACGAAGCGCCCGCCGCCAGUUCUAGCGGCAAGGGCAACUGGGAGGCCCUGAAGGAGCAGGGCAAUCAGGCGUUCAAGUCGAACGCAUUCGCGGAGGCGAUUCAGCACUAUAGCGCCGCCAUCGAGGCCCAUCCAGAUGAACCGGUGCUCUACUCGAACCGCAGUGCGGCAUACUUGAAGAGGGGGCAAUACCAGGAAGCCGCUCACGACGCGGAGAAGGCGGUGACAAUGGAUAGAACAUUUGCGAAGGCGUACUCGCGGCUGCACAGCGCCUUGUGUAAUCUAGGCUUGUUUGACCGCGCCUCGGAGGCGCUGAAGGCGGGUCUGACGGCCGUGUCGACGUCGCCAAAGGCCACGCCACAGGACGUGAAGCACCUCAGGGAGUUGUUGAAUAGUGCGGAGCAGGCCAGCAAAGUUGUGCCGCGCGGGCGGCAGCUGAUAGAGACCGGCUGCUUUGCAGAGGCCGGCCGCGCACUCGCCGGCCCGUAUCGCGACUUUCCUGGCUCCUCGACACUGGCGUUUCUCUACGCAGAGGCGCACGCGCCUUCGUCGCCGGAUGAGGCAUCCAGAGUCCUCUCCCCCUUCGCGUACACGCACAGCUCCGACCCUUACUACCUCUAUCUACGUGCACUGGUGCUAUACUACCGCGGCCAGGAAGGCUUCUCCAGCGCGCAGAAUAUUUUGCGAGAGACGCUACAGAUGGACCCCGACAACACCAAAGCGCGUAUCUUGCUCAAGCGCAUCCGUGCUGUUGAGUCACACAAGGACGCCGGCAACGUCGCCUUCAAGAACAAGAACGCCAAGGUGGCCGUCGAUGAGUACACUCAGGCGGUCGAGUGCGACCCGACCAACGCCCGCAUGAAUGCUACGCUGCGCAGCAACCGGGCAGCGGCGAAGAUGGACUUGAACGACUACAAGGGUGCUCUCCUCGACUGCGACUACGCCAUCAGCAACGGCGCCACUUCUGCGAAAAUCUACGCUCGCCGCAGCCGCAUUCAAGAGCAGCUGGAGAACUUCGAUGAGGCGGUGCGGGACAUGCAGCAGGCCGCCGAGGAGGAUAACCAGUUCGUAGCGGAGCUGCGCCAGCUGAAGGCGCGCGCCAAGCGUGCGAAGCGCAAGGACUACUACAAAAUACUCGGUCUUCCUCAACACGAGUCUAACCAGGAUGCCAUCAAGCGGGCUUACAAGAAAGCGUGUUUGCAGUGGCACCCAGACAAGUGGGCGCACGCAAGCGAAGAAGAGAAGUCGCAUGCGGAGACGCAGUUCAAGGAGAUUGGUGAGGCCUUUGGCGUCCUGUCUGACCCAAAGAAGAAGCGCAUGUACGACUCAGGUCAGAUGGACAAUGACGUGGAGGGGGCCAACAUGCCAAGCGGCUUUGGCGGCGGUGCGAGCCAGGAGGAUAUUGUCACUGUGAUGAACAUGAUGUUUGGCGGCGGUGGCUUCCAGGCGGGCGGCUUCCCAGGUGCCUUUGGAGGCGCAGGCAAUGGUCGCCGUCGCCCCCGCGGCGGUCCGGGCUUCUUUUGAGCGAACCGCGGGGAGGUGCCGAGGCCGAUGGGUAGUGGUACCAAUACGUUGUUGUUGACGCCGGUGUCGCGUCUUUCCCUCUUUCUCACAGUGUAAGUGUCGCGGACGAUCUCUGCGGUGCCGGUGCUUGAAAUCGAAAACGUAUCAACCAGGAUGUCUCUUGCGCGAUCUCUCUUUUGCCCUGUUGCUGCUGAUAGUUAAGAAGGGGGUGGCUCUUUCCUUUUUUGUGUUUGUGGUUUUACAAGUGGUGUGCGUUUAGUGGACUCUGCAUGGCUAGCGCGUGUCUAUGCCUUUCCGUUUUUCUUUUUUCUAUUUCUCACUCUCUCUUGUAUCUUAAACGUUUAUUAACUUGCGUGGGUUCAUUACCUGCUGCCCUGUCCACCUGCCUAACGCGGAGCGUUUUGCACGUUUGAUCGUGGACGUUGAUGACCGCUGUCGAUCAGGCUUGGGGGAUGGGAGGGUUUAUCCUUCCUGUGCGAGAAAGCCUUUGCUUCAAACUUUUACUCUCUUCGCUACCCCUCCGUUCUCUCGCGCUGUGCGGGUGAGGCCCUCGUUGUCUGCACGCGGCACACGCACCACCGAUUUCUCUUUCCUGCUCUCUGUCCGCUCCCCUUUCCUCGUUUUACCUUCGACGCGGUUGUGGAGGACACGAAAUGCAGAGGACAGGGGGGGGGCACGCACACGUACACAGCCACACGAGAGCAGCGUAUGGGCAGUAGGGCAGCCGGAAACAAUCAAAAAGCAAACAAACACGCUAAAGCAACCUUCCAUCCCGUGAAGGGCGCGCACGGGUGAACUUCUUUUGUUCUUGAACGGCGUCGAAGCGUGACGGCCUCUGUACUAAUUUAGACACCACACAGACGUAUAUAUCUAUAUAUUUGAGUGGGAGAAGGGUCUGCUUGUUUUGUUGUUGGUCUGUUUUCCGUGUGCGGCUGACCUGCACAGUGCAUGC
Molecule: unclassified non-coding RNA, 2923 nt
Filed under: Leishmania donovani
Lineage: Eukaryota; Euglenozoa; Kinetoplastea; Trypanosomatida; Trypanosomatidae
Description: gene:LdHU3.36.0690(CDS-product:TPR-repeat-contain ing_chaperone_protein_DNAJ_putative)
Source: RNAcentral